UUUAUGUGUAAUUUUACAGGACUUACAUUUUAACAGGUAAUGAUGUCCAGUUAUUUCUCAAAAAUACGAAGUAACAAUGGGCAAGCACCAGCUAUAAUAAUAUAGCAGGGAUUCAAGCAAUUCGUUUCACAAUUCCCUAAUGGGGAUACAAAGUUAAAUAAUGCAUUUUUACAAAUUUUCGAAAUGGCAUUUGUUCCAGGUUGCACCCCACAGCACAACAACCUGAGCCCAACGUCAGUCUGCUCAUCAGGUUAACUUUCACUCCGUUUGUAAUCGGUGCCAUAUUAACCAGUAAACACAAACCCAAUAAUAAACAAACACAGACCGGAAGUUAAUUUAGGGCCAAGUGCAUAACCUUGGCAACGCGCGUGCGUCCGAUGAAAGCGUCUAUAUAGGGAAUAUGGGACGCAGCCAUUGUUAUGGCCGUUCGUAUAUUGAACAUCGCGAGGUAUUGACUUUUUCCACUCAUUACUUAAGGAUUUAGAAGCAACUUUGUUUAUAAAAAUGUCCUAUGUUAUUUCCUAACCACGUUUCCUUGACCUCGAUGGAAAACGUAAUGAGGUCAAGGAAAGAUGUGACGGAUAAUUUAUAAGGACUUAGGAAAAGACAACCGUCGUGCUAAGAGAAUCCGACUGCACUUACACUAGUCUACGUAAUUAUCCGACAGCGGGUGUUAUUGACGUGAUCUGCCGUGGUGAAACUACAAUGUUCCGAAGAUGGACUACAAAAGCGCAUAUUAGGUGCAUGUGCUCUCUCCACCAGCCGGCGCAGCCAACUGCUACGCACCUCCACCAUGAGAAUUCAGCUGACGGCUAAUUCGGCUUACGCCAAGACCGCCCCCUCCCGGGUUUCGGCAUACUCAUAUUGAUUUCACGACCCAAUAGAAAUUUUUACAAAAAAUGCCAUGUCCAAUUUAUUCAUACCCCUUGAAAUUGUCGCAUUUGAAAGUGAAAAUGCAAGCUUCAAUACCUUUCCGAAUGGUCCUGGUAAUUUCUACUAUGUUCUUGAGUAUUCUGAUCAACUAUAAAUUGAGAUCAGCUGAUGCAGUUGUUCUCUAGUUCGUUUCUAGUCAUUUGCAAAUCGUGGCUAAAACUAUGUGAUUUCAUGGUCUGUAUUUUGCCAACUGUGCGUCAACUCUUUCACUCCUUGCAUUUUUUUACUGUUGCUUCAGGCCCUUGCUCCAGGAUGCCUUUUCUGCUUUCUGAGUGCCAUAACAAUCAGACGAGUCUUUUUCUUCACUUGCACUCAAACGGUUAUAAAUUGGUUAUAACAUCCUUGGCUAUGUUUUUAGCAGUUGAGGCUGAGGCUUGGCUAUGCUUAAUCCUUUCUUUAGCAGCGGCAUUGCCAACCAAAAUACGCUGUUAAAUACACUUUGGCACAUACCUUGCAUAAAUACCACCCUGCAAUCCAGGCAGACCACAGCUUGCGCAAUAUAAUAAUCAUAAUAUCUGGUGGAUUAUUAUCAUCAUAUAAAUGAGAUAAAGCCAACAGUAGCAUAACGGAAUGCCAGUACAGCGAUGAAAAUAGGGAAAUUAUAAUUAUAACCGGCCAUUUUACUAUAAAUAUCUAUGACCAAAUAUGUAGGCCUACAUACAACCAACCUGCACGUAGAGAUGUCGCUUUCAAGAUUGAGUGAUGACCGACAAUCCGUUUGUGAAAUAUACUCAUUUGUGACACUUUGGUAACAACACAUACUGUUUACGGAAUUGUUGCUCUGUUUAGUACAUUUUGGCUUGAUCGAUUAUUAUUUUACCCAGUAACUGACAGUAUUAGCUUUCUAACAAUGUAUGACAUGUCUAAUUUGACUUUUGAAAUAGCGAUUUAUAGUCCGGCAUAACCAAAAGUAUUGUCUUAUGCAUUCAACUGCUGCAUUAGCGGUAAAAAGACGAGACGAGCACUUGCCGAGACGUUUUCGCAACGUAACAUUACAUACAGAAAAAGGGGGGGAAGUACAUACAAGAACGAAUGAUUCCACAUUUAAAGCCACUGUAUGACCAAAUGUAUCUAGACACUCCUUGGUCUGGGGCUGUUUUUCAUGGUUUGGGCCCCUUGUUCCAGUAAAAGUGAAUACUAAUACUGCAGAUCACAAUCACAUUCUCGACAGUUACUAACCCUAUCCCUAACCCUAACCCUUUCCCCUUCAGGCAUGAUUAUGCCCCCUGAGCACACAUUUGAGUCCAUACAGAAAUGGUUUUGUCAAGAAUUGUGUGGAAUAACUUGACCUGCCUGCACAGAGCCCUGACCUCAACUCCAUCCAACACCUGUGGGAUUAAUUGGAAAGACAGAUGCAAGGCAGGGGGGCAUCACUCCAGUCAGUGCUCAUCCUCACCAAUUCUCUUCUGGAUAAAAGGAAGAAAAAUGUAAUAAAAGAUUUUAAUGCUUUAUUAGACAAAACGCUAUGGCUAUAUUUUGGACCCCUGUACUGUCAUUCUCACUUGAAAAUGAUGCAAAAUUGAGUUUCUUGAGCCAAAACAGUUGAUUUGUUUGUGUAUUAUUGUAAAUCACAACAAUUUAAAUAUUUUGGAUAGAUUUGGAGACACCAAGGUACACUGGUUGAAGCAAAAAAUUGUGAUUUUGCUUUAUAGAUCUCUAGUAGUUCAGUAGUUCAGAUUUUUGCACACUAGUGUGCAAUGAGUUUAUGAUCCUGGACAUUUCUAAUUUUAAGUGUUUUAUUUUUGGGAUCUCAGUAUUUCAUUUCAAGAUAAAAAAAGAACUUCAUUUUAAGAAUUUUCACCAAGGUAAUCACAUUUGUGCCACUUUAUUUCUCCCUGUAUUGGAUAUAAACUAAUGUUAGUAUAGUAAAUAGUACAAAUGCCUUAUUAGUACAAACUUCAUUUUUGUUGUUUGUUUGUCUAUAUUUGGUUAAAUAUUUUACCAUAAUUUUAAGUAACAUAAUAAAGAUGACACUGUUGAAAA
Long non-coding RNA from Anguilla anguilla (European eel), 2916 nucleotides. RefSeq lists it as uncharacterized. The transcript is spliced from 2 exons. The record is from RefSeq and is a predicted model, not a curated record. NCBI's taxonomy places the organism in Eukaryota, Metazoa, Chordata, Actinopteri, Anguilliformes, Anguillidae.